Molecule: long non-coding RNA, 512 nt
Filed under: Salvia miltiorrhiza (redroot sage)
Lineage: Eukaryota; Viridiplantae; Streptophyta; Magnoliopsida; Lamiales; Lamiaceae
Description: long non-coding RNA (SMIL_LNC011798)
Source: RNAcentral
UUUGGUUUUAUCAGGGUUGUAAUGUGGCUUAAGGCAUAGGUGGGAAAAUAUAUAGCUUUGGGCUGUUCAGUUAAGGGCACAGCUACCCAUCCCUUUCUUACAUCAGACUCUACACAAUUCUUACGGGCCUAAGCACAAAACACAAUUUUAGACUCAUUUUUUUUUCUUUUCAUUUUUCAGUCCUUAUUAUUUUUUUCUUUUUUUUUCACAAAAGGGGCAUAAUGAAAUUGGUGAUCAUAGGCACAACCCCUCCCCAUUUUGUUCCUACUACUUCUCUUUACCUUUGACUUAUUCUUUGCCCUAAUUCAUUUGACCGAGUAUGCUCAUUCAUCUGGACAAAUUUAAGUGACUUUCCAAUUGAAACGAUCUGACUCAAAGGGGCUGUACAAGGGUUAGUACGUAGGGUUUGUCAUUUGGGCAUAUGGAUUAAGUGAAAGAAAAUGCCUAAGUUAUCUAAGUUCCAUAGACCAAUUCAAUGAGGCUUUGACCAGAAUGCGGGCAAGUUCUAGUUC